UGUGACCAAGGGGGUGCCAUAUCCUGGCCUGCCCAAGCGUGACAAGCCAAGGCGUGUGGAGCAUUAUUUCUCGAGUUGGGUUAUCAGGGCUGUGGAAUCUCGAAAAGGAGAUGGACAGAUGUCUGGAUGUGAAGUUAUCCUUUUACAUUGUGAGGAUAUGGGAAUCCCCAAAGAUGUGGCUAAGCUGGGAUUGCGUCAUGGUAUGUGGGGAACUGUCAAGAAGUUGCACUCUGGCAUGAGGGCAUAUCAGAAUGCUAGGAUAUCAGAGGCUUCAUUGUCAAGAAGCGCACUCAUGGCGAGAAUUACAACAAAAAUUUCUUUUGACGAAAGUAUGGACUCUUCAGAGCCUGUGACUGGCGAAGUGGAUAAAGGUCAAGUGGUAGACAUUAAAAGACACAAGGAUCAUGGCAUUGACUGGAAAUGGAUAGUUAUAGGAGGAACAGUAGCUCUGGUGUGUGGACUUCAUUCUGGUGCUGUUGGAAAGGGCUUGUUGCUUGGUGCAGGGCAAAGAAUUGCGCGGAGAUGAGAGUUUUCUAGUUGAAGGACAUUUUAGCUCUAUUUGAUUUUCAAGGAUUUGUAAAAUUGUAUUCAACUAACUAGCUGAGGUAUCAAUGAUCAUUAUCAAAAGAUCAAUGAUGUGUUAUUAAAUUUUCUGUAUUGGGAC
Molecule: unclassified non-coding RNA, 664 nt
Filed under: Hevea brasiliensis (rubber tree)
Lineage: Eukaryota; Viridiplantae; Streptophyta; Magnoliopsida; Malpighiales; Euphorbiaceae
Source: RNAcentral